This 497-nucleotide ribosomal RNA is filed under the name uncultured bacterium. RNAcentral describes it as "partial 16S ribosomal RNA". It matches the Rfam family "Bacterial small subunit ribosomal RNA", at positions 28 to 507 of the family's 1533-position model. The record is from RNAcentral.
GAUGAACGCUGGCGGCGUGCCUAAUACAUGCAAGUCGAGCGAACAGACGAGGAUCUUGCGGCUCUGACGUGAGCGGCGGGCGGGAGAGUAACACGUGGAGAACCUACCUAGAAGACUGGGAUAACUACGGGAAACCGGAGCUAAUACCAGAUAAUAUAUUGAACCGCAGGGGGGAAUAGUGAAAGACGGGUUUGCUGGCACGUAAAGAUGGAUCCGCGCCGCAUUAGCUAGUUGGGAAGGUAAAGGCUUACCAAGGCAACGAUGCGUAGCCGACCUGAGGGAGUGACAGGCGACACUGGAAGUGAAACACGGUCCAGACUCCUACGGGAGGCCGCAGUAGGGAAUCUUCCGCAGUGGGCGAAAGCAUGACGGAGCAACGGCGCGUGAGUGAUGAAGGUCUUCGGAUCGUAAAACUCUGUUAUUAGGGAAGAACAACUGUGUAAGUAACUAUGCACGUAUUGACGGUACCUAGUCAGAAAGCAACGGCUAACUACGUG